AGCCUGAUGCAGCGACGCCGCUUGAGGGAUGACGGCCUUCGGGUUGUAAACCUCUUUCAGUAGGGAGAAGCGAAAGUGACGGUACCUGCAGAAGAAGCACCGGCUAACUACGUGCCAGCAGCCGCGGUAAUACGUAGGGUGCGAGCGUUAUCCGGAAUUAUUGGGCGUAAAGAGCUCGUAGGCGGUUUGUCGCGUCUGUCGUGAAAGUCCGGGGCUUAACCCCGGAUCUGCGGUGGGUACGGGCAGACUAGAGUGCAGUAGGGGAGACUGGAAUUCCUGGUGUAGCGGUGGAAUGCGCAGAUAUCAGGAGGAACACCGAUGGCGAAGGCAGGUCUCUGGGCUGUAACUGACGCUGAGGAGCGAAAGCAUGGGGAGCGAACAGGAUUAGAUACCCUGGUAGUCCAUGCCGUAAACGUUGGGCACUAGGUGUGGGGACCAUUCCACGGUUUCCGCGCCGCAGCUAACGCAUUAAGUGCCCCGCCUGGGGAGUACGGCCGCAAGGCUAAAACUCAAAGGAAUUGACGGGGGCCCGCACAAGCGGCGGAGCAUGCGGAUUAAUUCGAUGCAACGCGAAGAACCUUACCAAGGCUUGACAUGUUCUCGAUCGCCGUAGAGAUACGGUUUCCCCUUUGGGGCGGGUUCACAGGUGGUGCAUGGUUGUCGUCAGCUCGUGUCGUGAGAUGUUGGGUUAAGUCCCGCAACGAGCGCAACCCUCGUUCCAUGUUGCCAGCACGUCGUGGUGGGGACUCAUGGGAGACUGCCGGGGUCAACUCGGAGGAAGGUGAGGACGACGUCAAAUCAUCAUGCCCCUUAUGUCUUGGGCUUCACGCAUGCUACAAUGGCCGGUACAAUGGGUUGCGAUACUGUGAGGUGGAGCUAAUCCCAAAAAGCCGGUCUCAGUUCGGAUUGGGGUCUGCAACUCGACCCCAUGAAGUCGGAGUCGCUAGUAAUCGCAGAUCAGCAACGCUGCGGUGAAUACGUUCCCGGGCCUUGUACACACCGCCCGUCAAGUCACGAAAGUUGGUAACACCCGAAGCCGGUGGCCUAACCC
The sequence is a ribosomal RNA, 1051 nucleotides long. It matches the Rfam family "Bacterial small subunit ribosomal RNA", at positions 380 to 1441 of the family's 1533-position model.